GAACGCUGGCGGCGUGCUUAACACAUGCAAGUCGAGCGAUGAAGUUUCUUCGGAAAUGGAUUAGCGGCGAACGGGUGAGUAACACGUGAGGAAUCUGCCCUUCACUUUGGAAUAACUCCGGGAAACCGGAGCUAAUACCGGAUACGAACUCUGGCGGCAUCGCCGGAGUUGGAAAGUUUUUCGGUGAAGGAUGACCUCGCGGCCUAUCAGCUUGUUGGUGAGGUAAUGGCUCACCAAGGCGACGACGGGUAGCCGGCCUGAGAGGGCGACCGGCCACACUGGGACUGAGACACGGCCCAGACUCCUACGGGAGGCAGCAGUGGGGAAUAUUGGGCAAUGGGCGAAAGCCUGACCCAGCGACGCCGCGUGCGGGAUGAAGGCCUUCGGGUUGUAAACCGCUUUCAGCAGGGAAGAAGCGAAAGUGACGGUACCUGAAGAAGAAGCACCGGCUAACUAUGUGCCAGCAGCCGCGGUAAUACAUAGGGUGCAAGCGUUGUCCGGAAUUAUUGGGCGUAAAGAGCUCGUAGGUGGUUCGUUACGUCGGAUGUGAAAACUUGAGGCUCAACCUCAGGCCUGCAUUCGAUACGGGCGAACUGGAGUGUGGUAGGGGAGAGCUGGAAUUCCGUGGUGUAGCGGUGGAA
This 641-nucleotide ribosomal RNA is filed under the name Actinomycetes bacterium. RNAcentral describes it as "bacterial SSU rRNA". It matches the Rfam family "Bacterial small subunit ribosomal RNA", at positions 31 to 686 of the family's 1533-position model. The record is from RNAcentral. Lineage: Bacteria; Bacillati; Actinomycetota; Actinomycetes.